GACGAACGCUGGCGGCGUGCUUAACACAUGCAAGUCGAACGGAAAGGCCCUGCUUUUGUGGGGUGCUCGAGUGGCGAACGGGUGAGUAACACGUGAGUAACCUGCCCUUGACUUUGGGAUAACUUCAGGAAACUGGGGCUAAUACCGGAUAGGAGCUCCUGCUGCAUGGUGGGGGUUGGAAAGUUUCGGCGGUUGGGGAUGGACUCGCGGCUUAUCAGCUUGUUGGUGGGGUAGUGGCUUACCAAGGCUUUGACGGGUAGCCGGCCUGAGAGGGUGACCGGCCACAUUGGGACUGAGAUACGGCCCAGACUCCUACGGGAGGCAGCAGUGGGGAAUAUUGCACAAUGGGCGGAAGCCUGAUGCAGCAACGCCGCGUGCGGGAUGACGGCCUUCGGGUUGUAAACCGCUUUCGCCUGUGACGAAGCGUGAGUGACGGUAAUGGGAAAAGAAGCACCGGCUAACUACGUGC
This 469-nucleotide ribosomal RNA is filed under the name uncultured bacterium. RNAcentral's name for it is "partial 16S ribosomal RNA". It matches the Rfam family "Bacterial small subunit ribosomal RNA", at positions 28 to 508 of the family's 1533-position model. The record is from RNAcentral.